This 300-nucleotide ribosomal RNA is filed under the name Ehrlichia chaffeensis. RNAcentral describes it as "bacterial SSU rRNA". It matches the Rfam family "Bacterial small subunit ribosomal RNA", at positions 87 to 404 of the family's 1533-position model. The record is from RNAcentral. Lineage: Bacteria; Pseudomonadati; Pseudomonadota; Alphaproteobacteria; Rickettsiales; Anaplasmataceae.
AAUUGUUAGUGGCAGACGGGUGAGUAAUGCGUAGGAAUCUACCUAGUAGUAUGGAAUAGCCAUUAGAAAUGAUGGGUAAUACUGUAUAAUCCCUGCGGGGGAAAGAUUUAUCGCUAUUAGAUGAGCCUACGUUAGAUUAGCUAGUUGGUAAGGUAAUGGCUUACCAAGGCUAUGAUCUAUAGCUGGUCUGAGAGGACGAUCAGCCACACUGGAACUGAGAUACGGUCCAGACUCCUACGGGAGGCAGCAGUGGGGAAUAUUGGACAAUGGGCGAAAGCCUGAUCCAGCUAUGCCGCGUGA